CCGGCGCACGGGUGAGUAACGCGUAUGCAACCUGCCUAUCAGAGGGGGAUAACCCGGCGAAAGUCGGACUAAUACCGCAUGAAGCAGGGGCCCCGCAUGGGGAUAUUUGCUAAAGAUUCAUCGCUGAUAGAUAGGCAUGCGUUCCAUUAGGCAGUUGGCGGGGUAACGGCCCACCAAACCGACGAUGGAUAGGGGUUCUGAGAGGAAGGUCCCCCACAUUGGUACUGAGACACGGACCAA
This 240-nucleotide ribosomal RNA is filed under the name uncultured bacterium. RNAcentral describes it as "partial 16S ribosomal RNA". It matches the Rfam family "Bacterial small subunit ribosomal RNA", at positions 95 to 334 of the family's 1533-position model. The record is from RNAcentral.